RNAcentral lists this long non-coding RNA (753 nucleotides) under Mus pahari (shrew mouse). Its description in RNAcentral is "lncRNA (MGP_PahariEiJ_G0004360.1)". The record is from RNAcentral. Lineage: Eukaryota; Metazoa; Chordata; Mammalia; Rodentia; Muridae.
CAAUGACGUAAUGCCUCGUUGUUAAACGUCAUUGCUACGUGUCUAGAUUUCCCAUAACCAUGGAAACACACUCUUGAGUUUCUAGAAAGAUUUUUAUUGAAGAGGAUAGACCCACUCUGAUUGUGAGUGGUACCUUGGGGUUCUGGAUCAUGUAAGAAGGAAAUUCAAGCUUGGCAUUAGACGCCAUCUCUUUGCUUCCUGACUGGAUACGAAAUGAGCAGUGUCCUUACUCUCCUGCCCUACCUGUGCACCAAAAAAAACCCUGACUUGAGAAGUAAAGUGACUAACACAUGCCUCUAGUCACUAGAGUCUGGUGUCCAUGGAUGGAGUCUGGCGCCAGUUGAAUGUACUUUGAAUGAAGGAACAAAGGGGGAAGGAGCAUGGAUGUGACAGAGGCAAUAUGGACACUGGUAUCUGAGUGACCAAUCCAUGGUAACAGAGUCAGGACCUUCAGCAAGGACCUUCAGCAGAGGAUGGAAGAGAGAACACAGAACUAAUCUAAUGUGACAACGCUGUCCUAGGAGCCAGGAGCCACUCACAUGGCUCCAGUUGCUUUAUUAAGACAAGAUUGCGAGAAUACAGAAGCUGAGAGGCCUGUCCAUAAACCAUCUGAGACGCCUGCUUGGAAGAGAAGGUAGCUUGGAGCAGAUAUGGAGAUGAUGGAAAGUUGUCGUUUUGAUCCUGUAAGAAUCAUUUGAAGAAUGGGAGCGGGGUGUACACUAAAAAUUCCAAAUGACUUUCUAGAGCUUCUCC